RNAcentral lists this non-coding RNA (24 nucleotides) under Arabidopsis thaliana (thale cress). Lineage: Eukaryota; Viridiplantae; Streptophyta; Magnoliopsida; Brassicales; Brassicaceae. The record is from RNAcentral.
AACAGCUGCAUUAUGACGGCAGAG